AGCUUUGUGCAGUGGCAAUAUUGUAGCCAAUGAGGUUUAUCCGAGGCAUGAUUAUUGCUAAGAAAAAAAGACA
Molecule: small nuclear RNA, 73 nt
Filed under: Pteropus alecto (black flying fox)
Lineage: Eukaryota; Metazoa; Chordata; Mammalia; Chiroptera; Pteropodidae
Description: U4 spliceosomal RNA
Rfam family: U4 spliceosomal RNA
About the family: U4 small nuclear RNA (U4 snRNA) is a component of the major U2-dependent spliceosome. The structure of U4 snRNA from yeast and human has been reported.
Source: Rfam by way of RNAcentral